This 973-nucleotide ribosomal RNA is filed under the name Chaetoceros affinis. RNAcentral describes it as "partial Bacterial large subunit ribosomal RNA". It matches the Rfam family "Bacterial large subunit ribosomal RNA", at positions 1923 to 2911 of the family's 2925-position model. The record is from RNAcentral. Lineage: Eukaryota; Bacillariophyta; Thalassiosirophyceae; Chaetocerotales; Chaetocerotaceae.
GUAAACGGCGGCCGUAACUAUAACGGUCCUAAGGUAGCGAAAUUCCUUGUCGGGUAAGUUCCGACCUGCACGAAUGGCGUAACGACUUCCCCGCUGUCUCCAACAUCGACUCAGCGAAAUUGAAUUGCCUGUCAAGAUGCAGGCUUCCCGCGGUUAGACGGAAAGACCCCGUGCACCUUUACUACAACUUCGCACUGGCAUCAGGAUUGUGAUGUGCAGGAUAGGUGGUAGGCUUUGAAGCAGGAACGCCAGUUUCUGUGGAGCCUCCCUUGAGAUACCACCCUUCGCACUCUUGAUGUCUAACCGCGGUCCGUUAUCCGGAUCCGGGACCCUGCGUGGUGGGUAGUUUGACUGGGGCGGUCGCCUCCUAAAAAGUAACGGAGGUGUACUUAAGGUAAGUUCAGGUUAAAAAUUUUUAACUGUAGAGCAUAAUAGUAAAUUGCUUGCCUGACUGUUAGAUUGACAAAUCAAGCAGGGACGAAAGUCGGUUAUAGUGAUCCGGUGAUUCUGUGUGGAAAUGAUCAUCGCUCAACGAAUAAAAGGUACGCCGGGGAUAACAGGCUAAUCACUCUUUAGAGACCCUAUCGAUGGAGUGGUUUGGCACCUCGAUGUUGGAUUAUCGCAUCCUGGAGCUGUAAGUGGUUCCAAGGGUUUGGCUGUUCGCCAAGAAAGGCGGUACAUGAUCUGAGUUUAGAACGUCGUGAGACAGUUUGGUCCCUAUCUACCGUAAGCGUUAAAAAAUUGAGAAGAUUAAACUCUAGUACGAGAGGACCGAGAAAAGUAAACCUAUGGUGUAUCGAUUGUUAUACCAAUAGCAUAGUCGAGUAGCUAAGUUUAUAAUAGAUAAUCAUUGAAAGCAUUAAAAUGAGAAACUAACUUCAAGAUUUAUUUUUUUUAAUUGUAAUAGAAUAUUACUUUAAUAGGCUUAGUGUGUAAGAGUAGUAAUAUUUUUAGCAGAUAAGUACUAAAAAUU